GAAACAUUACAGUCCUACAACUGAGAAAGAAGUGACAACAACGUCUGGCACUCCUACAACUAAGAAAGAAAUGACUACAACGCCUGGUAUUCUUACAACUAAGAAAGAAAUGACUACAACGCCUGGUAUUCCUACAACUAAGAAAGAAAUUACUACAAUGCCUGGUAUUCCUACAACUAAGAAAGAAAUUACUACAACGCCUGGUAUUCCUACAACUAAGAAAGAAAUUACUACAACGCCUGGUAUUCCUACAACUGAGAAAGAAAUUACUACAACGCCUGGUAUUCCUACAACUAAGAAAGAAAUGACUACAACGCUUGGUAUUCCUACAACUAAGAAAGAAAUUACAACAACGUCUGGUAUUCCUACAACUGAGAAAGAAAUUACUACAACGCCUGGUAUUCCUACAACUAAGAAAGAAAUUACAACAACGCCUGGUAUUCCUACAACUGAGAAAGAAAUAACAACAACGCCUGGUAUUCCUACAACUGAGAAAGAAAUUACUACGACGCCUGGUAUUCCUACAACUGAGAAAGAAAUUACUACAACGCCUGGUAUUCCUACAACUAAGAAAGAAAUGACUACAACGCCUGGUAUUCCUACAACUAAGAAAGAAAUGACUACAACGCCUGGUAUUCCUACAACUAAGAAAGAAAUUACUACAACGCCUGGUGUUCCUACAACUAAGAAAGAAAUAACAACAACGCCUGGUAUUCCUACAACUGAGAAAAAAAUAACAACAACGCCUGGUAUUCCUACAACUGAGAAAGAAAUUACUACGACGCCUGGUAUUCCUACAACUGAGAAAGAAAUGAC
RNAcentral lists this long non-coding RNA (816 nucleotides) under Paramuricea clavata. The record is from RNAcentral. Lineage: Eukaryota; Metazoa; Cnidaria; Anthozoa; Malacalcyonacea; Plexauridae.